RNAcentral lists this ribosomal RNA (384 nucleotides) under uncultured bacterium. Its description in RNAcentral is "bacterial SSU rRNA". It matches the Rfam family "Bacterial small subunit ribosomal RNA", at positions 335 to 710 of the family's 1533-position model. The record is from RNAcentral.
ACUCCUACGGGAGGCAGCAGUAGGGAACUUUUUCGCAAUGGAGGAAACUCUGACGGAGCAAUACCGCGUGUGGGAAGAAGAUUUUCGGAUUGUAAACCACUGUUGUAAGGGAAGAACGUUAUUAGUAGGAAAUGGCUAAUAAGUGACGGUACCUUACCAGAAAGGGACGGCUAACUACGUGCCAGCAGCCGCGGUAAUACGUAGGUCCCGAGCGUUAUCCGGAAUUAUUGGGCGUAAAGGGCACGUAGGCGGACAAAUAAGUUUGAUGUCAAAUAUGAUGGCUCAACCAUCAAGAGGCGUUGAAAACUGUUUAUCUAGAAUCUCGGAGAGGUAAGUGGAAUUCCAUGUGUAGCGGUGGAAUGCGUAGAUAUAUGGAGGAACACC